GAUGAACGCUGGCGGCGUGCCUAAUACAUGCAAGUCGAGCGAACGGACGAGAAUCUUGCUUCUCUGAUGUUAGCGGCGGACGGGUGAGUAACACGUGUAUAACCUACCUAUAAGACUGGGAUAACUUCGGGAAACCUGAUCUAAUACCGGAUAAUAUUUUGAACCGCAUGGUUCAAAAGUGAAAGACGUUCUUGCUGUCACUUAUAGAUGGAUCCGCGCUGCAUUAGCUAGUUGGUAAGGUAACGGCUUACCAAGGCAACGAUGCAUAGCCGACCUGAGAGGGUGAUCGGCCACACUGGAACUGAGACACGGUCCAGACUCCUACGGGAGGCAGCAGUAGGGAAUCUUCCGCAAUGGGCGAAAGCCUGACGGAGCAACGCCGCGUGAGUGAUGAAGGUCUUCGGAUCGUAAAACUCUGUUAUUAGGGAAGAACAUAUGUAUAAGUAAAUGUGCACAUCUUGACGUUACCUACUCAGAAAGCAACGGCUAACUACGUG
RNAcentral lists this ribosomal RNA (497 nucleotides) under uncultured bacterium. Its description in RNAcentral is "partial 16S ribosomal RNA". It matches the Rfam family "Bacterial small subunit ribosomal RNA", at positions 28 to 507 of the family's 1533-position model. The record is from RNAcentral.